Molecule: small RNA, 286 nt
Filed under: Oryza sativa Japonica Group (Japanese rice)
Lineage: Eukaryota; Viridiplantae; Streptophyta; Magnoliopsida; Poales; Poaceae
Description: sRNA Os11g0639850
Source: RNAcentral
CCGAUCUCCUCCUGUUCUCUCUCCUCCUCCGUCUUCUUGGAUAGCCCGGCGGCCAGCGGCGGCGUCGUCGGCGUCGGCAGUGGCCGGCGGAUGGCGUGGCGAUGAGGGCCACGGGCGGCGGCGGCGGAGGUAGGCGCGCGGGUGGUGGCGCGGGGUGGCGGUGGCGGCGGCGGCCGGCGAGCAGACUGCCAGCAGCGGAGCGGGCGGCGACGCGCGGGCUUAGCAGCGGUAGUGGCGGCUGCGCACGGGCGGUGGCGCGGGUUGACGGCGCACGGCCGGCGCGCGU